GUGACUGCUCGUUAAACGGCCGCGGUACUCUGACCGUGCAAAGGUAGCGUAAUCACUUGUCUUUUAAAUAAAGACUAGUAUGAAUGGCAUCACGAGAACUAAUCUGUCUCCCUCCCCCAAUCAGUGAAACUGAUCUCCCCGUGCAGAAGCGGGGAUAAUACCAUAAGACGAGAAGACCCUGUGGAGCUUUAAAUCAAAAAUCAACUGCUAUACCUUACCCCUGAGGACACACUUCUAUAGACUUGACUUAGAUUUUUAGCUGGGGCGGCUGUGGAGAAAAGAGAAUCCUCCACGAAAUUCUACUCCAAGGGCUACUGCCCUAAGUAAUAAUAAAUUAAUUUAAUUGACCCAAUUUUUGAUCAACGAACCA
This 370-nucleotide ribosomal RNA is filed under the name Leptobrachella bourreti (Bourret's Asian toad). RNAcentral's name for it is "partial 16S ribosomal RNA". It matches the Rfam family "Bacterial large subunit ribosomal RNA", at positions 1912 to 2441 of the family's 2925-position model. Lineage: Eukaryota; Metazoa; Chordata; Amphibia; Anura; Megophryidae. The record is from RNAcentral.